CAGCCGCCACGGGAAUACGUAGGUGGCAAGCGUUGUCCGGAAUUAUUGGGCGUAAAGGGCUCGCAGGCGGUUUCUUAAGUCUGAUGUGAAAGCCCCCGGCUCAACCGGGGAGGGUCAUUGGAAACUGGGAAACUUGAGUGCAGAAGAGGAGAGUGGAAUUCCACGUGUAGCGGUGAAAUGCGUAGAGAUGUGGAGGAACACCAGUGGCGAAGGCGACUCUCUGGUCUGUAACUGACGCUGAGGAGCGAAAGCGUGGGGAGCAAAUGGGAUUAGAUACCCCGGUAGUCCCUGUCUCUUAUAC
RNAcentral lists this ribosomal RNA (301 nucleotides) under uncultured bacterium. RNAcentral describes it as "partial 16S ribosomal RNA". It matches the Rfam family "Bacterial small subunit ribosomal RNA", at positions 509 to 807 of the family's 1533-position model. The record is from RNAcentral.